UGGCAUCAUUAUUGUUUGGCAAAUUGGGGUUGCUUCGGUGGAUGUAUUCCACCACUGUAAUCAACAAAUUAAUAUUGUUAUAUCACUAAAAUAAAUGGUCUUACUUGGCUCUUAUCUGGUGUGUAUGCUAGCACUAUGUAUAGAGAUAAGAGGAUGGUGUGGCAAGAGGUAGCCAACCUAAUUGACUAAGGAAUUUCCUAUGGUCGUCAUUGGUGACUUUAACUACACUAUUGGCUCGAAGGAUAAAGGGAAGGUAGGCCUUUUGUGGAGGAUGUGGGCUCUAGGGAGUUCAGAAAGUUUAUGUCGGACCUUGGCUUUGUGGGACUG
Molecule: long non-coding RNA, 327 nt
Filed under: Elaeis guineensis (African oil palm)
Lineage: Eukaryota; Viridiplantae; Streptophyta; Magnoliopsida; Arecales; Arecaceae
Description: long non-coding RNA (EGUI_LNC001137)
Source: RNAcentral